This 253-nucleotide ribosomal RNA is filed under the name uncultured bacterium. RNAcentral describes it as "partial 16S ribosomal RNA". It matches the Rfam family "Bacterial small subunit ribosomal RNA", at positions 524 to 776 of the family's 1533-position model. The record is from RNAcentral.
UACGGAGGGUGCAAGCGUUAUCCGGAUUCACUGGGUUUAAAGGGUGCGUAGGUGGGCAGGUAAGUCAGUGGUGAAAUCUCUGGGCUUAACCCGGAAACUGCCGUUGAUACUAUCUGUCUUGAAUGUAGUGGAGGUGAGCGGAAUAUGUCAUGUAGCGGUGAAAUGCUUAGAUAUGACAUAGAACACCUAUUGCGAAGGCAGCUCGCUACACUAUUAUUGACACUGAGGCACGAAAGCGUGGGGAUCAAACAGG